UACGAAGGGGGCUAGCGUCGCUCGGAAUCACUGGGCGUAAAGGGCGCGUAGGCGGGUCUUUAAGUCAGGGGUGAAAUCCUGGAGCUCAACUCCAGAACUGCCUUUGAUACUGAAGAUCUUGAGUUCGGGAGAGGUUAGUGGAACUGCGAGUGUAGAGGUGAAAUUCGUAGAUAUUCGCAAGAACACCAGUGGCGAAGGCGGCGCACUGGCCCGAUACUGACGCUGAGGUGCGAAAGCGUGGGGAGCAAACAGG
Molecule: ribosomal RNA, 253 nt
Filed under: uncultured bacterium
Lineage: Bacteria
Description: partial 16S ribosomal RNA
Rfam family: Bacterial small subunit ribosomal RNA
Source: RNAcentral